RNAcentral lists this ribosomal RNA (989 nucleotides) under uncultured Psychrobacter sp. RNAcentral describes it as "bacterial SSU rRNA". It matches the Rfam family "Bacterial small subunit ribosomal RNA", at positions 157 to 1131 of the family's 1533-position model. The record is from RNAcentral. Lineage: Bacteria; Pseudomonadati; Pseudomonadota; Gammaproteobacteria; Moraxellales; Moraxellaceae.
CUCGUAUUAAUACCGCAUACGACCUACGGGAGAAAGGGCCGCAGUUUACUGCUCUCGCUAUUAGAUGAGCCUAAGUCGGAUUAGCUAGAUGGUGGGGUAAAGGCCUACCAUGGCGACGAUCUGUAGCUGGUCUGAGAGGAUGAUCAGCCACACCGGGACUGAGACACGGCCCGGACUCCUACGGGAGGCAGCAGUGGGGAAUAUUGGACAAUGGGGGAAACCCUGAUCCAGCCAUGCCGCGUGUGUGAAGAAGGCCUUUUGGUUGUAAAGCACUUUAAGCAGUGAAGAAGACUCCGUGGUUAAUACCCACGGACGAUGACAUUAGCUGCAGAAUAAGCACCGGCUAACUCUGUGCCAGCAGCCGCGGUAAUACAGAGGGUGCAAGCGUUAAUCGGAAUUACUGGGCGUAAAGGGAGCGUAGGUGGCUCUAUAAGUCAGAUGUGAAAUCCCCGGGCUUAACCUGGGAACUGCAUCUGAAACUGUAGAGCUAGAGUAUGUGAGAGGAAGGUAGAAUUCCAGGUGUAGCGGUGAAAUGCGUAGAGAUCUGGAGGAAUACCGNANNUGGCGAAGGCAGCCUUCUGGCAUAAUACUGAACAACUGAGGCUCGAAAGCGUGGGUAGCAAACGGGAUUAGAUACCCUGGUAGUCCACGCCGUAAACGAUGUCUACUAGUNCGUUGGGNUCCCUUNGAGGACUUAGUNGACGCAGCUAACGCAAUAAGUAGANCCNGCCUGGGGAGUACGGCCGCAAGGUUAAAACUCAAAUGAAUUGACGGGGGCCCGCACAAGCGGUGGAGCAUGUGGUUUAAUUCGAUGCAACGCGAAGAACCUUACCUGGUCUUGACAUAUCUAGAAUCCUGCAGAGAUGCGGGAGUGCCUUCGGGAAUUAGAAUACAGGUGCUGCAUGGCUGUCGUCAGCUCGUGUCGUGGGAUGUUGGGUUAAGUCCCGCAACGAGCGCAACCCUUGUCCUUAGUUACCAGCGGGUUAAGA